This is a long non-coding RNA of Gallus gallus (chicken), 2113 nucleotides long. The record is from Ensembl. NCBI's taxonomy places the organism in Eukaryota, Metazoa, Chordata, Aves, Galliformes, Phasianidae.
CAGCAGUCCCGUUGCACGAUGUUCCGACGGUCCGAGGCCGAAGGGCAGGAGCAGCGAGGCCGGUCUUGGGCAACGAGAGGGUGCAGGUCAGGGAGGAAGCAGCAGGUCUCAGGUAGCAGGCCCAGGGAAGUCCGUCAGCAAACGGUCCGUAGAGAAGGAUCUGAAGGCAGGAAGCUUGUGUCGUGGUGAGAGAUCAUGAGAGAUCAGCCUCUGUGUUGCGGUGAGAGAUCAGCCUCCAUGUUGCGGUGAGAGAUCAGUCUCCACGUUGCGGUGAGAGAUCAGUCUCCACGUUGCGGUGAGAGAUCAGUCUCCACGUAGAGAUCAGUCUCCACGUUGCGGUGAGAGAUCAGAUGGCAGAGAACCCCUCAAGUCUGUCGUGGUGAGAGAGAAGCCUCUACCUCGCCGUGGUUGUUGGACCCUCUUUCAUCCUCCAUUUUCUCCUGCCUAUGUGACAUUCCUGGGUGCUUGAGCAAGAGUCCUCGGCAUACCUCCUGAGAUGGCUCGAUCUUCCUCGAGAUAAGUCCACACAAAAAGACCGUUUCCCAGCCAUUAGCAGCAGCUUAUCUCUCUCUCAAUGCCCCUGGCCUUGUCCAUCUGUGCUCCUUAGAGGAUUUCACAAUCCUUAGCCAGGACCUGUCCAUCAGUGUCCUCAAGACAAAAGAUUUCUCUACAUUUGCCCAGGACUUGCCUGGACUUGUUCCUCAGCAAACUUUGAGUCAAAUGAUAUAAAAGAAUAAUCUCUUACAAACAUCUUUAUUAAUGACAUUGAUGACAGAAUUGAGUGUACCCUCAGCAAGUUUGCUGAUGACACCAAGCUAAGUGGUGCAGUCAACACAGUGGAAGAAAGGGAUGCCAUUCAGAGGGACCUUGACAGACUUGAAAGGUGGGCCCGGGUGAAUAUAAUGAGGUUCAACACAGCAAAGUGCAAGGUUUUGCGCUUGGGCUGGAGGAAUCCCAGUCAUCUAUACAAACUGGAAGGAUCAGUCCUUGAGAGUAGCCCUGCAGAGAAGGACCUGGGGAUCCUGAUGGAUGAAAACUUAAUAUGAGCCAGCAGUGUGUUCUUGCAGCUUGGAAAGCAAAUGGUAUCCUGGGCUCCAUCAUGAGAGGGGUGGACAGCAGGGAUGGGGAGGUGAUUAUCCCUCUUCACUCUGCUUUUGUGAGGCCUCAUCUGGAGUACUGUGUCCAGGUCUGGAGACCCCAGUACAAGAAAGACAGAGAUUGGAGAGGGUCCACAGGAGGGCCACUAAGACGAUUAGAGGCCUGGAGCACCUCCCCUAUGACGACAGGCUGAGGGAGCUGGGCUUGUUCAGCCUGGAGAAAAUAAGGCUGUGGGGUGACAUAAUUGCAGCCUUUCAGUACCUAAAGGGAGCCUAUAAACAGUAGGGGAGUCAACUCUUUGAAAGGGUAGAAAACAGCAGGACAAGGGGAAAUGGUUUUAAGUUGAGGGAGGGCAUAUUUAGGUUGGAUGUCAGGGAGCAGUUCUUUACUAUGAGAAUGGUAAGGUACUGGAACAGGCUGUGCAGAGAGGUUGUGGAUGCCCCAUCCCUGGAGGUGUUCAAGACCAAGUUGGAUGGGGCACUGGGCAGCCUGGUCAGGUAUUAAAUGUGGAAGUUGGUGGCCCUGCCUGUGGCAGGGGAGUUGGAGAUUCAUGAUCCUUGAGGUCCCUUUCAACCUGGGCCGUUCUGUGAUUCUGUGAAGAAAGCGUGGAGGAAGUAGGAACAAACAAAAUGUAGCUUAAAACCAAUUUAUCCCACCUACAAUUGUUUAAUACUUCACUUCUGGAGUUCUGUAUGUUUGUUUGUUUCUUGAUUUUUUGUUGUUGCUUCUGUAAAGAAUAUAUCUAAGUUAAACAUCACUGCAAAAACAACACAGCAGUAACUGCAGUGUUAUCUGUGUUCCCUCAGUGCACUAGGCAGAGGACUUUUAAUUUCAUACCUCAUUUACAACUUGCUGCACUGAUUCCACACAUUUCUUUAUCACAAGAAAAAAAAAAAGAAAAAAAAAAAAGAUUGCUAACAUUUUACCCCUGAUCUCAGAUUCUCUAGUUUUAGAUUUGCUGUUAGCUCUUUGCUUCACAAUCCACUACUGACUCUUCAGAAGGGCAGAAGGGCAC